RNAcentral lists this ribosomal RNA (426 nucleotides) under uncultured Pseudomonadaceae bacterium. Its description in RNAcentral is "bacterial SSU rRNA". It matches the Rfam family "Bacterial small subunit ribosomal RNA", at positions 356 to 774 of the family's 1533-position model. The record is from RNAcentral. Lineage: Bacteria; Pseudomonadati; Pseudomonadota; Gammaproteobacteria; Pseudomonadales; Pseudomonadaceae.
GGGGAAAAUUGGCAAAUGGGCGAAAGCCUGAUCCAGCCAUGCGGCGGGUGUGAAGAAGGUCUUGAGAUUGAAAAGCACUUUAAGUGGGGGGGAAGGGUUUAUGGCUAAUAUCAGGGAAUUUUGACGUUACCGAGAGAUUAACCACGGGCAAACUUCGUGCCAGCAGCCGCGGUAAUACGAAGGGUGCAAGCGUUAAUCGGAAUUACUGGGCGUAAAGCGCGCGUAGGUGGUUCGUUAAGUUGGAUGUGAAAGCCCCGGGCUCAACCUGGGAACUGCAUCCAAAACUGGCGAGCUAGAGUAUGGCAGAGGGUGGUGGAAUUUCCUGUGUAGCGGUGAAAUGCGUAGAUAUAGGAAGGAACACCAGUGGCGAAGGCGACCACCUGGGCUAAUACUGACACUGAGGUGCGAAAGCGUGGGGAGCAAACA